RNAcentral lists this ribosomal RNA (1154 nucleotides) under Phomopsis sp. MA125. RNAcentral's name for it is "eukaryotic LSU rRNA". It matches the Rfam family "Eukaryotic large subunit ribosomal RNA", at positions 84 to 1266 of the family's 3401-position model. Lineage: Eukaryota; Fungi; Ascomycota; Sordariomycetes; Diaporthales; Diaporthaceae. The record is from RNAcentral.
UAACGGCGAGUGAAGCGGCAACAGCUCAAAUUUGAAAUCUGGCCUCGGCCCGAGUUGUAAUUUGCAGAGGAUGCUUCUGGCGCGGUGCCUUCCGAGUUCCCUGGAACGGGACGCCACAGAGGGUGAGAGCCCCGUAUGGUCGGACACCAAGCCUGUGUGAAGCUCCUUCGACGAGUCGAGUAGUUUGGGAAUGCUGCUCUAAAUGGGAGGUAAAUCUCUUCUAAAGCUAAAUACCGGCCAGGAGACCGAUAAGCGCACAAGUAGAGUGAUCGAAAGAUGAAAAGCACCUUGAAAAGGGGGUUAAAUAGUACGUGAAAUUGUUGAAAGGGAAGCACUUGUGACCAGACUUGGGCCGGGCGGCUCAUCAGGGGUUCUCCCCUGUGCACUCCGCCCGGCACAGGCCAGCAUCGGUUCUCGUGGGGGGAUAAGACCGUCAGGAACGUAGCACCCUCCGGGGUGUGUUAUAGCCUGGCGGACGAUACCCCCGUGGGGACCGAGGUUCGCGCUCCGCAAGGAUGCUGGCGUAAUGGUCACCAGUGACCCGUCUUGAAACACGGACCAAGGAGUCGUCCAUUAGAGCGAGCGUUUGGGUGUAAAACCCGCACGCGUAAUGAAAGUGAACGCAGGUGAGAGCUUCGGCGCAUCAUCGACCGAUCCUGAUGUUCUCGGAAGGAUUUGAGUAAGAGUUUUAACGGACGGACCCGAAAGACAGUGAACUAUGCUUGUAUAGGGUGAAGCCAGAGGAAACUCUGGUGGAGGCUCGCAGCGGGUUCUGACGUGCAAAUCGAUCGUCAAAUAUGAGCAUGGGGGCGAAAGACUAAUCGAACUGUCUAGUAGCUGGUUACCGCCGAAGUUUCCCUCAGGAUAGCAGUGUUGAUCUUCAGUUUUAUGAGGUAAAGCGAAUGAUUAGGGACUCCGGGGGCGCUAUAUAGCCUUCAUCCAUUCUCAAACUUUAAAUAUGUAAGAAGCCCUUGUUACUUAGUUGAACGUGGGCAUUCGAAUGUACCAACACUAGUGGGCCAUUUUUGGUAAGCAGAACUGGCGAUGCGGGAUGAACCGAACGCGGGGUUAAGGCGCCAGAGUGUACGCUCAUCAGACACCACAAAAGGCGUUAGUACAUCUUGACAGCAGGACGGUGGCCAUGGAAGUCGGAA